UGGGGAAUUUUGCACAAUGGGGGGAACCUUGAUGCAGCGACGCCGCGUGAGGGAUGGAGGCCUUCGGGUUGUGAACCUCUUUCGCUCGUGUGCAAGCCGCUAUUUGGGUAGUGGUGAGUGUAGCGGGUAAAGAAGCGCCGGCUAACUACGUGCCAGCAGCCGCGGUAAUACGUAGGGCGCGAGCGUUGUCCGGAUUUAUUGGGCGUACAGGGCUUGUAGGCGGUUUGUCGCUCCUGUCGUGUAAUCCUCUGGCUUAACUGGGGGUGUGCGGUGGGUACGGGCAAGCUUGAUUGCGGUAGGGGAGAUUGGAAUUCCUGGUGUAGCGGUGGAAUGCGCAGAUUUCAGGAGGAACACCGGUGGCGAAGGCGGGUCUCUGGGCCGUUACUGACGCUGAGGAGCGAAAGCGUGGGGAGCGAACAGG
RNAcentral lists this ribosomal RNA (421 nucleotides) under Fusobacteriota bacterium. RNAcentral describes it as "Fusobacteria bacterium partial 16S ribosomal RNA". It matches the Rfam family "Bacterial small subunit ribosomal RNA", at positions 355 to 776 of the family's 1533-position model. The record is from RNAcentral. Lineage: Bacteria; Fusobacteriati; Fusobacteriota.